UGGGGAAUAUUGCACAAUGGGCGCAAGCCUGAUGCAGCCAUGCCGCGUGUGUGAAGAAGGCCUUCGGGUUGUAAAGCACUUUCAGCGGGGAGGAAGGCGAUAAGGUUAAUAACCUUGUCGAUUGACGUUACCCGCAGAAGAAGCACCGGCUAACUCCGUGCCAGCAGCCGCGGUAAUACGGAGGGUGCAAGCGUUAAUCGGAAUUACUGGGCGUAAAGCGCACGCAGGCGGUCUGUCAAGUCGGAUGUGAAAUCCCCGGGCUUAACCUGGGAACUGCAUUCGAAACUGGCAGGCUAGAGUCUUGUAGAGGGGGGUAGAAUUCCAGGUGUAGCGGUGAAAUGCGUAGAGAUCUGGAGGAAUACCGGUGGCGAAGGCAGCCCCCUGGACAAAGACUGACGCUCAGGUGCGAAAGCGUGGGGAGCAAACAGG
RNAcentral lists this ribosomal RNA (429 nucleotides) under Chloroflexota bacterium. RNAcentral's name for it is "Chloroflexi bacterium partial 16S ribosomal RNA". It matches the Rfam family "Bacterial small subunit ribosomal RNA", at positions 355 to 776 of the family's 1533-position model. Lineage: Bacteria; Bacillati; Chloroflexota. The record is from RNAcentral.